UAUGCCGGAAAAGUGCACUUAUC
Molecule: non-coding RNA, 23 nt
Filed under: Arabidopsis thaliana (thale cress)
Lineage: Eukaryota; Viridiplantae; Streptophyta; Magnoliopsida; Brassicales; Brassicaceae
Source: RNAcentral